Molecule: long non-coding RNA, 611 nt
Organism: Conger conger (European conger)
Lineage: Eukaryota; Metazoa; Chordata; Actinopteri; Anguilliformes; Congridae
Exons: 3
Source: RefSeq, a predicted model, not a curated record
CAGCCGGUGGAGGAUGGACUCCCCGUCUGUAGCUGUUUUCCUCCCGAGAUUUCUCCCCUUUGUGUCGGCCUCGGCCUGAGGAGGGGGGCUGCCCUGGCCUCGGAGUUUACGAGAGCGGUUGGGCAACUGGAUUCUGUCCCCAGGCAUUGAAGGGGCUUCUGUAAACAAGUAUGGGGUCUACUAGGUGCUGAUUUAAGGGAAGUGGUGUUGGAGUGUCUGCAGAAGGGAUCAUUACCAGCUUCCUGUCAGCAAGCAGCUCGCACUACCUCUUGCCCAAAAAGGGAGACUUGUCUUUAAGAGCUGGAGGCUUGCUGCACUUCUGUCAUGUGACUACAAGGAAAUAUGACGCACACAGUAUAUGGCUAAAUUUCCAAGGUAGCGUUGGAGUUUUCUGGAGAAACAAAUACCACACAAACCACCAAGCAACAGAACCUUCUGGCUGUACAUUUGAGAGCUGACCAUGGAAACCAUGCUGGUCUGUGUCUGGCUGGUCAGCAGUCUGAUUCACACGAUCUCAGGAUGUUCUCUAUCUGCACCCAAAGGAGUCACUGGGUACACAGGAGGCUCCGUGCUCCUGUCUUGCUACUGCACUGAUGGAGGGACAAUAUCGA